GACGAACGCUGGCGGCGUGCUUAACACAUGCAAGUCGAACGGAAAGGCCCUGCUUUUGUGGGGUGCUCGAGUGGCGAACGGGUGAGUAACACGUGAGUAACCUGCCCUUGACUUUGGGAUAACUUCAGGAAACUGGGGCUAAUACCGGAUAGGAGCUCCUGCUGCAUGGUGGGGGUUGGAAAGUUUCGGCGGUUGGGGAUGGACUCGCGGCUUAUCAGCUUGUUGGUGGGGUAGUGGCUUACCAAGGCUUUGACGGGUAGCCGGCCUGAGAGGGUGACCGGCAACAUUGGGACUGAGAUACGGCCCAGACUCCUACGGGAGGCAGCAGUGGGGAAUAUUGCACAAUGGGCGGAAGCCUGAUGCAGCAACGCCGCGUGCGGGAUGACGGCCUUCGGGUUGUAAACCGCUUUGGCCUGUGACGAAGCGUGAGUGACGGUAAUGGGUAAAGAAGCACCGGCUAACUACGUG
This 468-nucleotide ribosomal RNA is filed under the name uncultured bacterium. Its description in RNAcentral is "partial 16S ribosomal RNA". It matches the Rfam family "Bacterial small subunit ribosomal RNA", at positions 28 to 507 of the family's 1533-position model. The record is from RNAcentral.